CCGGAAAGAGGCAAGUGCUGCCGCUGCCGCGUUCGUUCUCCCUCCCUCCUUCCUUCCCUCCUUCCCUCCCUCUCUCCUUCUCCGCUCCUUCUCACUCCGGAGUUCCCGCAGGGGUGUCGGGAGUGGAGAUGCAGUCGCGGCAGCCGCAGCUCCCGAGCUCUGGCCGGGGAAUCCCGGAGAGUCGGGGAGGAGCCGCAGUCCCCGCCGCCGCCGCCGCCGCAGUCGCCGCCAGACAGACUGAAAGUCCCUGGGAAAGUGAAAGGGGGAGGGGGAGGGAGGCCCAAGUUUAAGGUCUCCGACUCUUAAAGAGACAAGACACUUCAGUCUCGGUGCGUCCCCAGCGGUCAGCCCCGGCCCUCGGGCCCUCCCACGUCUCUUCUCUGGGUUUGCACGCCCCGAGGGCAUCUCUCCCAGCGUACCAGCUCCCGGGUCUCAGGCCCGGAAGGCUGCAGCUCCAGCUUGGCCCCCUCCAGACUGUCUGGCCCGGGUUAAGCCUGUCUGCAGCCCUUCCCUCUGCACUCCCCUGUCUCCGUCUCCCCAGCGAUCCUCGGUCCUUAAGAGGGAGGGGGCGGCUGCAGAAGAAUAAUCUGCAUUUACAACAUCAAGCUGCCAUCUUCCAUUUGGGCCAAUUUCAAGAACAAGCACCAGUUUUCAUGUAAUUUGUAAGUGAGGGUGCCUGAGGGAAAAGACAAGAGAGGACGAGGCAGAAAUUAAUUGAACAUCCCAAGUGACUGAUACCCCCGGAAAGGAUGCUGGCUACCGGAUUCAUUAGAACUACAUUUUAGAAAGGGAAACAAUCUCAGCAGGACAACUUCCGUGGCUUCCAGAUUCACCAUGGCCUCGAUUCUCUGGCUGGACGGCUGAAGUCACUGUGUGUCCAAUACUUGCUCUUUGUCUUUGGGCUGACUCCUGGUACCAUCUGCUCACAGGAUCUGGUGGGAAUCAUAUGCUACCAAAAGUUGGAAUCUGGAGAGAGAUGGACUCUGACAAGCUAAAAUGGAAGUAACUUGACAGCUUCAAUCCCUACAGUUGACUCUUGUAAGGACAAGUUAAGAGUGGGAGCACAAACGUGUCUGGGAUAGCAGUAUGCAGGAAGCUGGUUUUCAGGCCACAAACGCUUUAACAGGUGAGGUUCCCGGACAAUGAGUAAGUUGCAAGUUUUGGUGAACUUUUGGUUAAGUACAACUGAAAUAGCACAAAAAUGACUGUCCCGGCACGCAUUUGGAUCCAGGAACUUUAGGAGAUAUGUGAAGGUGAGAUGUAUAAGCAAAUAGGGUGACAUUUUUUCCCCACAAAAGUGAUACUAUACUUUUGUUGUUCUUCCCCCCCUCCCCUGACAGCUUGAGGAAGGGCCCUUCAUUUUAUAAUUCUGUAUAAAAUAUUCUGAAGUACAUAUUGCAGAAAUGUGCUUCCCCAUUCUGUAUAAGGAAUAUAUUUUCAGAAAAAGACAGAGUCAGGGUUUGGGUGGAUAUUUUCCUUCAGAGAGCAAAAUCUCCCUUCCCCCAAAUUAAUUGCUGGCAAGUAAUAUUUCCUUCUCAUCUUUUUUAUCCUUAGUUUAUUUCCUUAGUUUUAUUAGUGAGUAAAUGGGGGGAAAUUGGCCACUCCAGCCUUUCAUUUAUAAUCAUUCUUGUAUAAAUGAGAUCAUUGUUAAACUGCACAUCACAAUUUUAUUUUAAUUCAGCCCACUUUAAUUCUACCCUGGAUACCAGUUUUCACAUUUUGUAGUUACCAUUUGUUCUGUCCAGUGCCCAGAGCAAUGGACUGAGAGACACAGGAGCUUUUGAAUUCAGACCCUGGCUUGGUUUCUGGUUCCCUGAAUAUCUCAGAAAUGUUGCUUAAUUAUUCUCAUUUCUAACCCCUCAUUUAUUGAUGCAUCCCAGAGAGAUCUGAAGUGAAGAACUGCUAAUAUAAUAAUAGUAAGAAAUAAAAAAUAAAAAGAAAAGUUUUGGUUCCA
Molecule: long non-coding RNA, 1954 nt
Organism: Monodelphis domestica (gray short-tailed opossum)
Lineage: Eukaryota; Metazoa; Chordata; Mammalia; Didelphimorphia; Didelphidae
Source: Ensembl